Molecule: RNA transcript, 3481 nt
Organism: Homo sapiens (human)
Lineage: Eukaryota; Metazoa; Chordata; Mammalia; Primates; Hominidae
Exons: 8
Source: RefSeq, a predicted model, not a curated record
CGAACUCCUGACCUUAGGUGAUCUGCCUGCCUCGGCUUCCCAAAGUGUUAGGAUUACAGGCGUCAGCCACUGUGCCUGGCCCAGAUGUCUCUAAUUCUAACAUGAGAUGUAUUGCAGGAUCAUAGCAGAGUGAGUUGCUGAUGUAUCCAGAAGGAAACGAGCAUGGAACACUCACGACAGCUGUCCUGAGAAGUGUGUGUGUGCUGUGCUUGAAUAUCUCACUGCUCAUUUAUACACAGGCUUUCUGGUGACUGAGUUAACAGUAUCUGUUUCAUAAAUAAUGUAGCCCUCUUUCUUUCUUUCUCUCUCUCUCUCUCUUUUUUUUUUUUUUUUUUUUUUUUGAGACAGGGUCUUGCUCUGCUACCCAGGCUGGAGUGCAAUGGUGCAGUCUCAGCUCACUGCAACUUCACCAUGCCUGGCUAAUUUUUUCUUUUUUUUUUUUUUGAGACGGAGUUUCGCUGUUUUUGCCCAGGCUGGAGUGCAAUGGCACAAUCUCGGCUCACCACAAUCUUUGCCUUUUGGGUUCAAGGGAUUCUCCUGCCUCAGCCUCCCGAGUAGCUGGGAUUACAGGCAUGUGCCACCACACCCGGCUAAUGUUGUAGUUUUAGUAGAGACGGGGUUUCCCUAUGUUGGUUAGGCUGGUCUCAAACUCCUGACCUCAGGUGAUCUACCCGCCUCGGCCUCUCAAAGUGCUGGGAUCACAGGCAUGAGCCAUCACUCCUGGCCUAAUUUUUGUAUUUUUAGUAGAGAGAGGGUUUCACUCUGUUGGCCAGGCUGGUCUCGAAUUCCUGACCUCAAGUUAUCUGCCUGCCUCGGCCUCCCAAACUGUUGGAGUUACAGGCGUGAACCACCAUGCCUGGCCAGCUCUAUUUCUUUAAGCCUACAUGUUUUGCACUUGUUAAAAGUAUUUGAACAUACAAUUACUCAGCUUCCCUUGUUUACGCGUGAAUUUUGUAGAAUCUUAAAUAUUUUUUCCAAUCUAAGCUUUAUUUUAUCCCGUUUCUUCUAUAUUUGUAUAACUUUAGGCGGCUAUCUUCAUUGAAAGUUUUUUCUCAAAAGCCUUAAGAUAGAACAUAGUUCUUGGCAGCAAUUUGAAAGUUAUUUGAGGAGAAGGGGAGACUUACAAUGAUGAUUCAAAUGAAGGAAACUAAAAAGUAAUGAAGCAAGGCAGAGGAAAAAGCAGUACUCACUUGAGCACAUCCCAAAAGAAUAACAUUUCAAAUGUAACUAGAAAAAAGUAUGCUGAAGUUCGCAAUACAGAAAUAAUUAUUAAUAAGAUAGCUUUAAAGCCCUGCUCAGCUUUUGAAUGUUGGGAAUUGACCCAGAGGUGGCUGUAACCUAAGAUGGUUCCUUCAGUAAUGACCAUUUUUUCUUUUUCAAGAUGAUGAUUAUUCCCCACCUUCUAAGAGACAAAGACCAACGAGCCACCACAGCCACCAGUCCCAGAACCCGCCAAUGCUGGGGAACGGAAAAUGAGGGAGUUCAACUCUGGCCCUCACAAUCCAGUGGAGGAGACGAAACUCAUCUGCCUCUGUCCCUCUGGGCACGCCUCGUGCCAGGUGCAUCUGUGGACAGGGGCCAUGCUCCUGGGCUUCCAAAGUUGGAGAAAGCUGCCAGGCUCAGGUCUGAAGGCCAGAAUUCUACAGUAAGUCCUACUGAGUCAAGGUGGGAGCAGGGUCGGUAGCUUCCGAGGCUCUGCGGGAGAAUCCGUUUCCUGGCCGUAGAGGUGGCCUGCACUCCUCAGCUUGUGCUGUCCGUCUCGAAUGACUGGAGUUUCCUGCUUCUGUCACUACACCUCCCACCCUCUCCAUCACCUGCUCUGCUCUUACAAGGAUCCGAAGAAAUGGAAUCAUCGUAUCGCUGAUCUACGUAAACAAACUGAAGAAUUGUCUGAAAGAAAAUAUGACAUGAACUUAUGAAUUCAACAGGUGAAGAUUUACAACUUGAUAAAUCAACUUUGUCAGCUCGAGCUGUAAAAGCCAAAGGUCCGGUGAUGAUCCCAUACCCUUUUUUCCAGUCUCAUGUUGAAGAUUUUUAUGUAGAAGGCCUUCCCAAAGGAAUUUUUUUUUUUUUUUUUUUGAGAUGGAGUUUUCACUCUUAUCGCCCAGGCUGGGGUGCAAUGGCGCAACCUUGCUGGUCACUGCAACCUCUGCCUCCUGGGUUCAAGAAAUUCUCCUGCCUUAGCCUCCCAAGUCACUGGGAUUACAGGUGCCCACCACCAUACCAGGCUAAUUUUUGUAUUUUUAGUGGAGAUGCGGUUUCACCAUGUUGGCCGGGCCAGUCUCGAACUCCUGACGUCAAGUGAUCUUCCCGCCUCGACUCCUGAUAUCAAGUGAUCUUCCCGCCUCGGCCUCCCAGAGUGCUGAGAUUACAGACGUGAACCCAUGCCUGGCCAGGAAUUUUGUUUUUUAGGAAGGCUUUCUACUAAUGGAAUUCCUGGCCUUGAGAGGAUGUUACUUUAGAAGGAAAGGAUUUUUUUGUUAUUAAAAGAGCCACCUAAGCUGAAGAUUCCCUUGAGAACAAGUACUGUCCCUAGUUUCCCAGUGCUGGAAUAUAGAAAAUGGAUGGACAAGUAAAUCCCACUCAGCACCCAUAGUCCAGGCAUGGGGACCUCAACACACCUGAGCCCCAGACAUCACCUUUCAUUCUGGACCUACCAUGAAAGACUUCUGAAUCCAGGAAGAGAAACUGACUGGGCAACAUGUUAUUCAGGUACAAAAAGACUUGGACUGUAACUCAAAAAUGAUCAAAUAAUAGUGCAUGCAUCAAGUGCAAUCGGAAGCUCUUCUGGAGAGGGAGAGAAGCUUCCAGUUAAGGUGACAUUGAAGCCAAGUCCUGUAAGAUAAGGAAGAGUUGUAUGAGAGUGGGGAGGGAAGGGGGAGGUGGAGGGAUGGGGAUUGGGCUGGGAUGGGAUGGAGUGAGCUGCCCAGGCAGGGAAACCAGCACUAUACAGACCUGAACAAUGAAGAUGGCACAUUUUGUUCAGGGAAUGGUGAAUUAAGUGUGGCAGAAAUGCUUUGUAGAGACAGUAAUUUGCUUGUAUGGAAUUUUGCCCAAGAGACCUCAUUACAGUUUCUAAUUUUUUGAUGUUAUCAUGCAUCACUGCCCUUGUCAGAUAGUAUCAUGAUCACAAUAACAUCAAGCAUAAUAUUUCAUUGAUUCUCACAAAAACAGGUGGGUGCCACAGUUAUCCCCAUUAUAUGCACAAAAUGAUGAAGACUUGGGGUUAAUGAGCGAUUUGCCCAAGCUCUCCUGAAUAUUAGGACUGAGUCAAAUGUUAGUCUGGUCUGACUUUAAUGCUUGCCUUGUUCAUGAGCACCAUGCAUUGCCUCUCCUAUUAAGUUAAGCAGGUAGACAGGUGAGAGAAGAGCCAGUGUGAUAUCGGGGGAAAUUCACCCCUGAUAUUUCAUGUAGGUUCUUUUCUAUUUUCCCUGAGUGUCAGCCAGUCUGAGAAAUAAAGGGAAAGAGUACAAAAGAGAGA